AGUUAAAGGAAGUUGUUUGUUGAUUUGCAAUCAAUUGAGAUGGUUAUCCAUAUGAA
RNAcentral lists this transfer RNA (56 nucleotides) under Philodromus sp. Its description in RNAcentral is "tRNA-Ala". The record is from RNAcentral. Lineage: Eukaryota; Metazoa; Arthropoda; Arachnida; Araneae; Philodromidae.